RNAcentral lists this long non-coding RNA (229 nucleotides) under Lathyrus oleraceus (garden pea). RNAcentral's name for it is "Pisum sativum (pea) long non-coding RNA (PSAT_LNC036811)". The record is from RNAcentral. Lineage: Eukaryota; Viridiplantae; Streptophyta; Magnoliopsida; Fabales; Fabaceae.
AAAUUCUUUUCAUUUUUAUCCCUAAUUUUUGCCCGAACCUUUUCUUUCUUUUUUUUGGUUCGCCGGGAUGCCCUUUUUUGCCAGGAGUUUUUUAUUCUUUUUGUCCAGCGGGUCACUUUAUGUGAAGUAUUUUUUGACUACAUCUGAGUUAACAGGGGACGGAAAAUCUUCAUCAUCCAUAGUUGUAAGCAUCAAGGCUCCACCAGAGAAGACCUUCUUCACAACAUAU